This 274-nucleotide ribosomal RNA is filed under the name uncultured bacterium. RNAcentral's name for it is "partial 16S ribosomal RNA". It matches the Rfam family "Bacterial small subunit ribosomal RNA", at positions 523 to 796 of the family's 1533-position model. The record is from RNAcentral.
AUACGGAGGGUGCAAGCGUUAAUCGGAAUCACUGGGCGUAAAGCGCGCGCAGGCGGAUUGGCAAGUUGGAUGUGAAAGCCUGCGGCUCAACCGCAGAACUGCAUCCAAAACUGUCAGUCUAGAGUCUGGGAGAGGUAGCUGGAAUUAGUGGUGUAGGGGUAAAAUCCGUAGAGAUCACUAGGAAUACCGAAAGCGAAGGCGAGCUACUGGAACAGUACUGACGCUGAGGCGCGAAAGCGUGGGGAGCAAACAGGAUUAGAAACCCCAGUAGUCC